UGGGGAAUAUUGCACAAUGGGCGCAAGCCUGAUGCAGCCAUGCCGCGUGUAUGAAGAAGGCCUUCGGGUUGUAAAGUACUUUCAGCGGGGAGGAAGGGAGUAAAGUUAAUACCUUUGCUCAUUGACGUUACCCGCAGAAGAAGCACCGGCUAACUCCGUGCCAGCAGCCGCGGUAAUACGGAGGGUGCAAGCGUUAAUCGGAAUUACUGGGCGUAAAGCGCACGCAGGCGGUUUGUUAAGUCAGAUGUGAAAUCCCCGGGCUCAACCUGGGAACUGCAUCUGAUACUGGCAAGCUUGAGUGUCGUAGAGGGGGGUAGAAUUCCAGGUGUAGCGGUGAAAUGCGUAGAGAUCUGGAGGAAUACCGGUGGCGAAGGCGGCCCCCUGGACGAAGACUGACGCUCAGGUGCGAAAGCGUGGGGAGCAAACA
Molecule: ribosomal RNA, 427 nt
Filed under: uncultured bacterium
Lineage: Bacteria
Description: partial 16S ribosomal RNA
Rfam family: Bacterial small subunit ribosomal RNA
Source: RNAcentral